GAGCGGCGGACGGGUGAGUAACGCGUGGGUAACCUACCCUGUACACACGGAUAACAUACCGAAAGGUAUGCUAAUACGGGAUAAUAUAUUUGAGAGGCAUCUCUUAAAUAUCAAAGGUGAGCCAGUACAGGAUGGACCCGCGUCUGAUUAGCUAGUUGGUAAGGUAACGGCUUACCAAGGCGACGAUCAGUAGCCGACCUGAGAGGGUGAUCGGCCACAUUGGAACUGAGACACGGUCCAAACUCCUACGGGAGGCAGCAGUGGGGAAUAUUGCACAAUGGGCGAAAGCCUGAUGCAGCAACGCCGCGUGAGUGAUGAAGGCCUUCGGGUCGUAAAACUCUGUCCUCAAGGAAGAUAAUGACGGUACUUGAGGAGGAAGCCCCGGCUAACUACGUGCCAGCAGCCGCGGUAAUACGUAGGGGGCUAGCGUUAUCCGGAUUUACUGGGCGUAAAGGGUGCGUAGGCGGUCUUUCAAGUCAGGAGUGAAAGGCUACGGCUCAACCGUAGUAAGCUCUUGAAACUGGGAGACUUGAGUGCAGGAGAGGAGAGUGGAAUUCCUAGUGUAGCGGUGAAAUGCGUAGAUAUUAGGAGGAACACCAGUUGCGAAGGCGGCUCUCUGGACUGUAACUGACGCUGAGGCACGAAAGCGUGGGGAGCAAACAGGAUUAGAUACCCUGGUAGUCCACGCUGUAAACGAUGAGUACUAGGUGUCGGGGGUUACCCCCUUCGGUGCCGCAGCUAACGCAUUAAGUAC
This 754-nucleotide ribosomal RNA is filed under the name uncultured bacterium. Its description in RNAcentral is "bacterial SSU rRNA". It matches the Rfam family "Bacterial small subunit ribosomal RNA", at positions 93 to 867 of the family's 1533-position model. The record is from RNAcentral.